AACUCUGGUAUUGAUUGGUGCUUGCAUCAUGAUUUACAUUUGAGUGAGUGGCGAACUGGUGAGUAACACGUGGGAAACCUGCCCAGAAGCGGGGGAUAACACCUGGAAACAGAUGCUAAUACCGCAUAACAACUUGGACCGCAUGGUCCGAGCUUGAAAGAUGGCUUCGGCUAUCACUUUUGGAUGGUCCCGCGGCGUAUUAGCUAGAUGGUGGGGUAACGGCUCACCAUGGCAAUGAUACGUAGCCGACCUGAGAGGGUAAUCGGCCACAUUGGGACUGAGACACGGCCCAAACUCCUACGGGAGGCAGCAGUAGGGAAUCUUCCACAAUGGACGAAAGUCUGAUGGAGCAACGCCGCGUGAGUGAAGAAGGGUUUCGGCUCGUAAAACUCUGUUGUUAAAGAAGAACAUAUCUGAGAGUAACUGUUCAGGUAUUGACGGUAUUUAACCAGAAAGCCACGGCUAACUACGUGCCAGCAGCCGCGGUAAUACGUAGGUGGCAAGCGUUGUCCGGAUUUAUUGGGCGUAAAGCGAGCGCAGGCGGUUUUUUAAGUCUGAUGUGAAAGCCUUCGGCUCAACCGAAGAAGUGCAUCGGAAACUGGGAAACUUGAGUGCAGAAGAGGACAGUGGAACUCCAUGUGUAGCGGUGAAAUGCGUAGAUAUAUGGAAGAACACCAGUGGCGAAGGCGGCUGUCUGGUCUGUAACUGACGCUGAGGCUCGAAAGUAUGGGUAGCAAACAGGAUUAGAUACCCUGGUAGUCCAUACCGUAAACGAUGAAUGCUAAGUGUUGGAGGGUUUCCGCCCUUCAGUGCUGCAGCUAACGCAUUAAGCAUUCCGCCUGGGGAGUACGGCCGCAAGGCUGAAACUCAAAGGAAUUGACGGGGGCCCGCACAAGCGGUGGAGCAUGUGGUUUAAUUCGAAGCUACGCGAAGAACCUUACCAGGUCUUGACAUACUAUGCAAAUCUAAGAGAUUAGACGUUCCCUUCGGGGACAUGGAUACAGGUGGUGCAUGGUUGUCGUCAGCUCGUGUCGUGAGAUGUUGGGUUAAGUCCCGCAACGAGCGCAACCCUUAUUAUCAGUUGCCAGCAUUAAGUUGGGCACUCUGGUGAGACUGCCGGUGACAAACCGGAGGAAGGUGGGGAUGACGUCAAAUCAUCAUGCCCCUUAUGACCUGGGCUACACACGUGCUACAAUGGAUGGUACAACGAGUUGCGAACUCGCGAGAGUAAGCUAAUCUCUUAAAGCCAUUCUCAGUUCGGAUUGUAGGCUGCAACUCGCCUACAUGAAGUCGGAAUCGCUAGUAAUCGCGGAUCAGCAUGCCGCGGUGAAUACGUUCCCGGGCCUUGUACACACCGCCCGUCACACCAUGAGAGUUGUAACACCCAAAGUCGGUGGGUAACCUUU
RNAcentral lists this ribosomal RNA (1406 nucleotides) under Lactiplantibacillus plantarum. RNAcentral's name for it is "bacterial SSU rRNA". It matches the Rfam family "Bacterial small subunit ribosomal RNA", at positions 65 to 1443 of the family's 1533-position model. Lineage: Bacteria; Bacillati; Bacillota; Bacilli; Lactobacillales; Lactobacillaceae. The record is from RNAcentral.